ACCCUCUCAGGGUGGCACCUGGAGGGUUUCCAGUACUCCACCAGUCUCGGCUACAGGAGGGAGAGUCGAGCAGAGGCCCGCCCGUUCCAUUCCUAGCUUUGAAGGUGGCUAGCGAGUGGAAGGCAAUCUGCUAUAAGU
This is a small nucleolar RNA of Ornithorhynchus anatinus (platypus), 138 nucleotides long. The record is from RefSeq and is a predicted model, not a curated record. NCBI's taxonomy places the organism in Eukaryota, Metazoa, Chordata, Mammalia, Monotremata, Ornithorhynchidae.